AAUGAUUACUAAUAGUUGUAUAAACAGAACAACAAUAAUUACUACAACUCAAAAUGUCUAUUAUAAAAUACAUAUAAUCAAGAGUUUUCAAUCACACAAAAAUAAAAUAUAGGUAUUUAAAUUUUAAUAUAUAAAAAAAUAUGAAAUCAAGAGAAGGCACCAGCAGAAAGAGUGAGGGUGGUGCUGCUCGGAGCAUAUGAC
Molecule: long non-coding RNA, 201 nt
Filed under: Elaeis guineensis (African oil palm)
Lineage: Eukaryota; Viridiplantae; Streptophyta; Magnoliopsida; Arecales; Arecaceae
Description: long non-coding RNA (EGUI_LNC029662)
Source: RNAcentral